This 506-nucleotide ribosomal RNA is filed under the name uncultured bacterium. RNAcentral's name for it is "partial 16S ribosomal RNA". It matches the Rfam family "Bacterial small subunit ribosomal RNA", at positions 29 to 523 of the family's 1533-position model. The record is from RNAcentral.
AGUGAACGCUGGCGGUAGGCCUAACACAUGCAAGUCGAACGGCAGCACAGGAGAGCUUGCUCUCUGGGUGGCGAGUGGCGGACGGGUGAGGAAUACAUCGGAAUCUACUUUUUCGUGGGGGAUAACGUAGGGAAACUUACGCUAAUACCGCAUACGACCUACGGGUGAAAGAAGGGGAUCUUCGGACCUUGCGCGAUUGAAUGAGCCGAUGUCGGAUUAGCUAGUUGGCGGGGUAAAGGCCCACCAAGGCGACGAUCCGUAGCUGGUCUGAGAGGAUGAUCAGCCACACUGGAACUGAGACACGGUCCAGACUCCUACGGGAAGCAGCAGUGGGGAAUAUUGGACAAUGGGCGCAAGCCUGAUCCAGCCAUACCGCGUGGGUGAAGAAGGCCUUCGGGUUGUAAAGCCCUUUUGUUGGGAAAGAAAUCCAGCUGGUUAAUACCCGGUUGGGAUGACGGUACCCAAAGAAUAAGCACCGGCUAACUUCGUGCCAGCCGCCGCAGUAA